This 539-nucleotide long non-coding RNA is filed under the name Homo sapiens (human). RNAcentral describes it as "non-protein coding lnc-CYP7A1-6:6". The record is from RNAcentral. Lineage: Eukaryota; Metazoa; Chordata; Mammalia; Primates; Hominidae.
ACAUAAUGUUUCUUUAAUAUAUGUUUAGGAGCCUUAAAAUUAAGCCAGACUACUGUUUUAAUGCUUCUCAUUAUCUUUUAGCUAUUUUUAUUCCAUAGCAUUUGGAAGACGCCAGGACACGUUAAUGGGACAUGAUGAUGCUGUUAGUAAGAUCUGUUGGCAUGACAACAGGCUAUAUUCUGCAUCGUGGGACUCUACAGUGAAGGUGUGGUCUGGUGUUCCUGCAGAGAUGCCAGGCACCAAAAGACACCACUUUGACUUGCUGGCCGAGCUGGAACAUGAUGUCAGUGUAGAUACAAUCAGUUUAAAUGCUGCAAGCACACUGUUAGUUUCCGGCACCAAAGAAGGCACAGUGAAUAUUUGGGACCUCACAACGGCCACCUUAAUGCACCAGAUUCCAUGCCAUUCAGGGAUUGUAUGUGACACUGCUUUUAGCCCAGGUAGAUAUUAUCCUUUUUAAAACAGAUAAUACUAGGUAAAUUGGAAUUUUGAAAUAAACAAUAUUGUUAAUUUUGAAAUAAACAAUAAAACUUACAAAG